UGGACACCCAACCAUUUUGUCAAUUGUGUAUUAAAUAUGUCCUAGUAUUUUCUAAAAAUGGCACUGUCUAAUUUUGUUACAAAUAUAUGGUAGUUCCUUCAUUAAAAAACCCAUUUUGAGCACUCAAAAAAUGGAAAAUGAUUUUUGUGUGCAAUGCAAAUGAAGACCACAAAAUCAUCAUUGUUUGAAAUCAUAAGAUACACAUAUGUGCACAAUAUUGGGUCAUUUAAACAUACAACAUGAGGCUAAUAUGUUGAGUGUUUACCCAAAAUAAGAGGGUAAAAAGUAUAAAAGAAUCAAAAGAGAAAAAACACAAUCACAUAUGCUAGAUUCUGAUUGGUGGAACCAUCUGUCACACGAAUCGAUGACAUGGCAGACAUCCAUCCAUCCAUUGCUAGCAAUCCAUCCAUCCAUCCAUCUGAAGUAACCCACCGCACCAAACCCUACCCAGAUCACUCACCUCUCCUCCCUUCCUUCCUCCCGCCGCCUCCCUCUCUCUCUCCCGGAUCCAAAUCGACGCUGCCACCCCUCUCUAACCCUAGCUUCCCAUCGGCGGCGGCGGCGCCCUCCUUCCCUCGCCCUCUCCUCCUUCCCUCCUCACGGGCGUCUCCACCACGCCAAGAAUCCCGGCGACCCACCCCGUCUCCACGCCCGCCUCGGCAACCACCUCCGCCGCGCGUCCGAGUCCCAUCCGUGUCCGUGCCGGCUCCGUCUCCGUCUCCUUUCAUGGGAGGUGACCCGCAUCCGGCCCCGCGGCGGGGGAGGGGUGGCGGCGGACGCUAAGGCCACGAUGGCGGUCACCCUCCGCACACCACCGCGCCCUCCCCUCACCCUGGCCCCAGGUCGGGCAGUGUGAGGCAGUGCUCCCAUACUUGCGACGGCCACAGCCUAGCCCACUCCGAUCUGGAUCCGGGAUGCGACCUUGAUCUAGAGCCGUGAUCCGGGAUGUGCUCCUUCCUCCCUCUCUUCGUCAGGCCUGACCCGGCCGUCGUCAUCGCCUCCAAAACGGCUCGCGUGCUGGAGGCACGCGGGGCCCACGUCAUCAUGGCCGUCAGCAACCUCGCCGCUGCAGAGGCCGUGCGCCAUGCCGUCCUUGCCGAGACCCCUACCGCCAACCUCGACCUGAUGGAGCUGGACCUCCCUGCACUCCGUCCUCCCUGGCCUCUGUCCGCAACUUCACCGUGCUGACAGGGGCCUCUCGCUUAACAUCCUCAUGUGCGUAUGCCCUACCCUUUUCGUUCAUUCAUUUAGGUUCAGUUAGCUAGGGGCUAUCAGCCAUUAAAUUCAGAGAAAUCCCUGUCAAGCAUGAGGUUCCCCUACAUACCUACUACCAUAUGUUUGUACUGAAUAUAUUGACAUGCCAUGACACUAUGAUGCAAUAGAAUAGCUAGCAGAAUGCCGAUAUCAUGAGUUUAAUUGGUUAAGCUAAGCUAAGCUAACUCCAAUUAUGCUAGUUUAUGUCUUGUUUAAUUUGUUAAUUGUUGAUGCUUGCAGUUAAUUAGCUGGAGUAGUUGGUUAAUUACACACUGGUUGGUGCAUGCUAGCUCAAGUGAUAAAUGCAUGGAUGUAUGUUCAUUCAAGUCAGUCAGUCAAGGAAUUUGUUUCAGAUUCAGCUGUGAUGAAUUUGUCAUCCACCUUAAUUCCUUGACACCUGUGUAUCCUUGGGACCUGUAGUUGUUUGCCUUGAGAAUUAUUUGGUCUAGCACUUGGAGAUCUUCUCUGAUUAGGGCAGAGGGGACAAGGUAGCUAGAUUGCUAGGAGAAUCUACAGUUAAUAAUGAAGUAAACAUUAGUCUGUAAAGGUAGCAAGACGGAAAGCGUCCGUGCAUGGUGCCUUUGUUUGCAGCUAGCUGACGAAGGACAAAGGAGUACUAUGGGUGUCAGCAAUUAAUUCAAGUUCCUUUUCAUGUCAUGGAUCCUAGCUUGCUUGGCCCUGAUUAAGAUAAGCUAACUCCAAUUAUGUAGCUAAUUUAUGUCUUGUUUAAUUUGGACGAAUUGUUGGGUAUAUAUAUUGAUUAAUUGGUUAAGUGUUCAUGCUUGUUUGUUAACGCAGUAGAAUUUGGUGUGCUUGAAUAAAAUGGCGCUCAUUUGCAUCAUUGAAUUUCUGCAGAGUUCUAAGAAGAAUUCUGGUACAAACGCACUGACCGUAUACUUGUACAUGUGUAGCCGAGGAACCUCCUGUGGGCUACUUCCAAGCAUGAUGUGUACGUGAUGCAGAACUAUUCUGUGAGGCAUUGGUCGUCCUUACUCCAGAGAGGAAAAGAAGUGCUCAACGUGGCAGGCCCAAAUCAGGAUAUGCAGGGAGGUCGGCCCUUGUCCAGGGUGAAGAUCAGCACCAUGACGGUGAAAGACAACCUCCUGGCGGCUGGUGGUUUCCAUGGGGAGCUGAUCUGCAAUGUAAGGAGGCCGGAGUAGGCACGCAGUGCACACACAAAGCAUUUUUUCUGCUUGAGAACAUGUAGAAAUGUAGAGCUGUAGCUUGACACUUAGGUAUUUAUUAUUUUGUUAGUACCUUGGCAGUGAAUUCUAGCAGCGAAGCCUCUUCAUUUCGAGCAGCGAUAACCUGAUUGGUAAACUAGUGCUUUGUGUGUGCUAGUAACUCACAAUGUCGUCUUUGUAUAUGCACAAAUGAAAUUAUUCACCCCGCCAUUGUCAUUGUUUCCUAA
Molecule: long non-coding RNA, 2665 nt
Organism: Aegilops tauschii subsp. strangulata
Lineage: Eukaryota; Viridiplantae; Streptophyta; Magnoliopsida; Poales; Poaceae
Source: RefSeq, a predicted model, not a curated record